RNAcentral lists this ribosomal RNA (696 nucleotides) under Alaria alata. RNAcentral's name for it is "SSU rRNA". It matches the Rfam family "Eukaryotic small subunit ribosomal RNA", at positions 133 to 760 of the family's 1831-position model. The record is from RNAcentral. Lineage: Eukaryota; Metazoa; Platyhelminthes; Trematoda; Diplostomida; Diplostomidae.
UGCUACAUGGAUAACUGUAGUAAUUCUAGAGCUAAUACAUGCCACUAUGCCCUGACCCGCAAGGGAACGGGUGGAUUUAUUAGAACAGAACCAACCGGGAGCGGCUUCGGUCGUUCCUGUUGCACUCUGUGAUGACUCUGGAUAACUUUACUGAUCGCAGUCGGCCUUGUGUCGGCGACGGAUCUUUCAAAUGUCUGCCCUAUCAACUUUCGAUGGUAGGUGAUCUGCCUACCAUGGUGAUAACGGGUAACGGGGAAUCAGGGUUCGAUUCCGGAGAGGGAGCCUGAGAAACGGCUACCACAUCCAAGGAAGGCAGCAGGCGCGAAAAUUACCCACUCCCGGCACGGGGAGGUAGUGACGAAAAAUACGAAUACGGGACUCACUCGAGGCUCCGUAAUUCGAAUGAGUACAAUCUAAAUCCUUUAACGAGGACCAAUUGGAGGGCAAGUCUGGUGCCAGCAGCCGCGGUAACUCCAGCUCCAAAAGCGUAUAUUAAAGUUGCUGCAGUUAAAAAGCUCGUAGUUGGAUCUGGGUCGUGCGAUCACAUGUCGUCUCUUGGUUCUGAUUUCGGUCAGUUCCAUGUGAUGGCAAAGUGGUUGUGCAGCCUUUCAGCCGUGUCUGCGUGAGCAGGUGUUGGUUGGCUGGUGAGCUUGCUCACUGGUUAGCUGGCAUGUUUCCUGAUGCCUUUAACCGGGU